Molecule: ribosomal RNA, 500 nt
Filed under: uncultured bacterium
Lineage: Bacteria
Description: bacterial SSU rRNA
Rfam family: Bacterial small subunit ribosomal RNA
Source: RNAcentral
UUUGAUCCUGGCCCUUAAUGGACGCCGGGGGAAUGCUUUACCCCUGCCAGUCCAACGGCAGCCCGGACUGCGGGCUGGUGGCGAGUGGCGACCGGGUGAUGAAUAUAUCGGAACAUGCCCACCCGUGGGGGAUAACGUAGUGAAAAUUACGCUAAUACCGCAUACGAUCAACGGAUGAAAACGGGGGAUCACAAGACCGCCCCCGAUUGGAGCGGCCGAUAUCGUAUUAUGUAGUUGGUGAGGUAAAGGCUCACCAAGCCGACGAUCUGUAGCUGGUCUGAGAGGACGACCAGCCACACUGGAGCUGAUACACGGUCCACACUCCUACGGGAGGCAGCAGUGGGGAAUUUUGGACAAUGGACGCAAGUCUGAUCCAGCCAUUCCGCGUGCAGGACGAAGGCCUUCGGGUUGUAAACUGCUUUUGUACAGAACGAAAAGCCUUGGGUUAAUACCCUGGGGUCAUGACGGUACUGUAAGAAUAAGCACCGGCUAACUACGUG